This 497-nucleotide ribosomal RNA is filed under the name uncultured bacterium. RNAcentral's name for it is "partial 16S ribosomal RNA". It matches the Rfam family "Bacterial small subunit ribosomal RNA", at positions 28 to 507 of the family's 1533-position model. The record is from RNAcentral.
GACGAACGCUGGCGGCGUGCCUAAUACAUGCAAGUUGAGCGAUGAAGCUUGGUGCUUGCACCAAUUUGAAGAGCAGCGAACGGGUGAGUAACGCGUGGGGAAUCUGCCUUUGAGCGGGGGACAACAUUUGGAAACGAAUGCUAAUACCGCAUAACAACUUUAAACAUAAGUUUUAAGUUUGAAAGAUGCAAUUGCAUCACUCAAAGAUGAUCCCGCGUUGUAUUAGCUAGUUGGUGAGGUAAAGGCUCACCAAGGCGAUGAUACAUAGCCGACCUGAGAGGGGGAUCGGCCACAUUGGGACUGAGACACGGCCCAAACUCCUACGGGAGGCAGCAGUAGGGAAUCUUCGGCAAUGGACGAAAGUCUGACCGAGCAACGCCGCGUGAGUGAAGGAGGUUUUCGGAUCGUAAAACUCUGUUGGUAGAGAAGAACGUUGGUGAGAGUGGAAAGCUCAUCAAGUGACGGUAACUACCCAGAAAGGGACGGCUAACUACGUG